UUGGGAAUUUUGCACAAUGGAGGAAACUCUGAUGCAGCAACACUGCGUGAAGGAUGAAGGUUUUCGGAUUGUAAACUUCUUUUAUCUGGGAAUAAUCUUGAAGGUACCAGAUGAAUAAGCACCGGCUAACUACGUGCCAGCAGCCGCGGUAAUACGUAGGGUGCAAACGUUAUCCGGAUUUAUUGGGCGUAAAGAGUUCGUAGGCGGACCGGUAAGUUGGAUAUUAAAGACCCAGGCCCAACCUGGGGAAUGUAUCCAAAACUGCCAGUCUUUGAGGUAUGUAGGGGAGAAUGGAACUUAUGGUGUAGCGGUGGAAUGCGUAGAUAUCAUAAGGAACGCCAAUGGUGAAGACAGUUCUCUGGACAUCACCUGACGCUGAGGAACGAAAGCGUGGGUAGCGAUCGGG
RNAcentral lists this ribosomal RNA (406 nucleotides) under uncultured bacterium. RNAcentral's name for it is "bacterial SSU rRNA". It matches the Rfam family "Bacterial small subunit ribosomal RNA", at positions 355 to 776 of the family's 1533-position model. The record is from RNAcentral.